Molecule: unclassified non-coding RNA, 285 nt
Filed under: Hevea brasiliensis (rubber tree)
Lineage: Eukaryota; Viridiplantae; Streptophyta; Magnoliopsida; Malpighiales; Euphorbiaceae
Source: RNAcentral
UCUGGUCCUGAAGUUUAGUAGUACUGUCCAUCAGAUGGAUUUCUUUAUGUAAUCAAGCUGUUCAAUGACUAAGUCUUUUAUCAAUCACAGAUCAGUUUAAUGAUAUCUGGAGAGCUGUACAGGCGGCUUUAGUUCCAGAGGUUGUGAAUUUUAAGUCACUGUAUACUAUUUUGGAGAAAGAUCAAAGAUUAGUUGUAGGAUUAGGGAUGAUUUAACGUUCCAUCUUAUGUAUACGGUAGAACCGAGAGCAAAAGGAGAAAAAAUAACAAAAUGUUCUGUAACCAC